UACGUUCCCGGACCUUGCACACACCGCCCGUCCCACCAUGGGAGCGGGUUUUACCAGAAGUAGGUAGCUUAACCGCAAGGGGGGCGCUUACCACGGUAGGAUUCGUGACUGGGGUG
This 116-nucleotide ribosomal RNA is filed under the name uncultured bacterium. Its description in RNAcentral is "partial 16S ribosomal RNA". It matches the Rfam family "Bacterial small subunit ribosomal RNA", at positions 1367 to 1482 of the family's 1533-position model. The record is from RNAcentral.